RNAcentral lists this ribosomal RNA (450 nucleotides) under uncultured bacterium. RNAcentral describes it as "bacterial SSU rRNA". It matches the Rfam family "Bacterial small subunit ribosomal RNA", at positions 354 to 796 of the family's 1533-position model. The record is from RNAcentral.
GUGGGGAAUUUUGGACAAUGGGCGCAAGCCUGAUCCAGCAAUGCCGCGUGCAGGAAGAAGGCCUUCGGGUUGUAAACUGCUUUUGUACGGAACGAAACGGUCCGGGUUAAUACCCUGGGCUAAUGACGGUACCGUAAGAAUAAGCACCGGCUAACUACGUGCCAGCAGCCGCGGUAAUACGUAGGGUGCAAGCGUUAAUCGGAAUUACUGGGCGUAAAGCGUGCGCAGGCGGUUUUGUAAGACAGGCGUGAAAUCCCCGGGCUCAACCUGGGAGUUGCGCUUGUGACUGCAAGGCUGGAGUGCGGCAGAGGGGGAUGGAAUUCCGCGUGUAGCAGUGAAAUGCGUAGAUAUGCGGAGGAACACCGAUGGCGAAGGCAAUCCCCUGGGCCUGCACUGACGCUCAUGCACGAAAGCGUGGGGAGCAAACAGGAUUAGAAACCCCGGUAGUCC